CCUACGGGAGGCAGCAGUGAGGAAUAUUGGUCAAUGGUCGGGAGACUGAACAAGCAAAGCCGCGUGAGGGAUGAAGGUACAGAGUAUCGUAAACCUCUUGUGUCAGGGAACAAAGGCGGGGACGCGGCACAGGAUGAGUGUAACUGAAGAACAAGCAUAGGCUAACUCCGUGCCAGCAGCCGCGGUAAUACGUAGGGGGCAAGCGUUAUCCGGAUUUACGGGGUGUAAAGGGAGCGUAGACGGCUGUGCAAGUCUGAAGUGAAAGCCCGUGGCUCAACCGCGGAACUGCUUUGGAAACUGUAUAGCUUGAGUACUGGAGAGGCAGGCGGAAUUCCUAGUGUAGCGGGGAGAUGCGUAGCUAUUAGGAGGAACACCAGUGGCGAAGGCGGCCUGCUGGACAGAAACUGACGUUGAGGCUCGAAAGCGUGGGGAGCAAACAGGAUUAGAUACCCCUGUAGUC
RNAcentral lists this ribosomal RNA (460 nucleotides) under uncultured bacterium. RNAcentral describes it as "partial 16S ribosomal RNA". It matches the Rfam family "Bacterial small subunit ribosomal RNA", at positions 338 to 795 of the family's 1533-position model. The record is from RNAcentral.